GAUGAACGCUGGCGGCGUGCCUAAUACAUGCAAGUCGAGCGAACGGACGAGAAGCUUGCUUCUCUGAUGUUAGCGGCGGACGGGUGAGUAACACGUGGAUAACCUACCUAUAAGACUGGGAUAACUUCGGGAAACCGGAGCUAAUACCGGAUAAUAUUUUGAACCGCAUGGUUCAAAUGUGAGAGACGGUCUUGCUGUCACUUAUAGAUGGAUCCGCGCUGCAUUAGCUAGUUGGUAAGGUAACGGCUUACCAAGGCAACGAUGCAUAGCCGACCUGAGAGGGUGAUCGGCCACACUGGAACUGAGACACGGUCCAGACUCCUACGGGAGGCAGCAGUAGGGAAUCUUCCGCAAUGGGCGAAAGCCUGACGGAGCAACGCCGCGUGAGUGAUGAAGGUCUUCGGAUCGUAAAACUCUGUUAUUAGGGAAGAACAUAUGUGUAAGUAACUGUGCACAUCUUGACGGUACCUAAUCAGAAAGCCACGGCUAACUACGUG
This 497-nucleotide ribosomal RNA is filed under the name uncultured bacterium. Its description in RNAcentral is "partial 16S ribosomal RNA". It matches the Rfam family "Bacterial small subunit ribosomal RNA", at positions 28 to 507 of the family's 1533-position model. The record is from RNAcentral.